UGGGGAAUCUUGCGCAAUGGCCGAAAGGCUGACGCAGCGACGCCGCGUGGGGGAGGAAGGCCUUCGGGUUGUAAACCCCUGUUGCCCGGGACGAAUGCGCUCUAUUGGGGGCGUUGACGGUACCGGGUGAGGAAGCACCGGCUAACUCCGUGCCAGCAGCCGCGGUAAUACGGAGGGUGCGAGCGUUGUCCGGAAUCACUGGGCGUAAAGGGCGCGUAGGCGGCUCAUGAAGGCUGUGGUGAAAGUCCGGGGCUCAACCUCGGAUCGGCCGUGGCGACUCGUGGGCUGGAGCACUGUAGAGGCGGGUGGAAUUCCGGGUGUAGCGGUGGAAUGCGUAGAGAUCCGGAAGAACACCAGUGGCGAAGGCGGCCCGCUGGGCAGUGGCUGACGCUGAAGCGCGACAGCGUGGGGAGCAAACA
RNAcentral lists this ribosomal RNA (419 nucleotides) under uncultured Gemmatimonas sp. Its description in RNAcentral is "bacterial SSU rRNA". It matches the Rfam family "Bacterial small subunit ribosomal RNA", at positions 355 to 774 of the family's 1533-position model. The record is from RNAcentral. Lineage: Bacteria; Pseudomonadati; Gemmatimonadota; Gemmatimonadia; Gemmatimonadales; Gemmatimonadaceae.